AGAACGAACGCAGGCGGCAUGCCUAAUACAUGCAAGUCGAACGAACUCUUCGGAGUUAGUGGCGCACGGGUGCGUAACGCGUGGGAAUCUGCCCCUUGGUUCGGAAUAACAGUUGGAAACGACUGCUAAUACCGGAUGAUGACGAAAGUCCAAAGAUUUAUCGCCCAGGGAUGAGCCCGCGUAGGAUUAGCUAGUUGGUGAGGUAAAGGCUCACCAAGGCGACGAUCCUUAGCUGGUCUGAGAGGAUGAUCAGCCACACUGGGACUGAGACACGGCCCAGACUCCGUACGGGAGGCAGCAGUAGGGAAUAUUGGACAAGUGGGCGCAAGCCUGAUCCAGCAAGUGACCGCGUGAGUGGA
This 359-nucleotide ribosomal RNA is filed under the name uncultured soil bacterium. RNAcentral's name for it is "bacterial SSU rRNA". It matches the Rfam family "Bacterial small subunit ribosomal RNA", at positions 26 to 409 of the family's 1533-position model. The record is from RNAcentral.